ACGCUCGACACCUACGGGAGCAGCAGUGGGGAAUAUUGCACAAUGGGGGAAACCCUGAUGCAGCGACGCCGCGUGAGCGAAGAAGUAUUUCGGUAUGUAAAGCUCUAUCAGCAGGGAAGAAACUGACGGUACCUGACUAAGAAGCACCGGCUAAAUACGUGCCANCAGCCGAGUAUCNGNGCGGNNGNAG
Molecule: ribosomal RNA, 190 nt
Filed under: uncultured bacterium
Lineage: Bacteria
Description: partial 16S ribosomal RNA
Rfam family: Bacterial small subunit ribosomal RNA
Source: RNAcentral